CUUAGCCUUAAACCUAGAUAUUUCACAUACAAAAAUAUCCGCCAGAGAACUACGAGCAUAGACGCUUAAAACUCUAAGGACUUGGCGGUGCCUCAAACCCCCCUAGAGGAGCCUGUUCUAUAAUCGAUAAUCCACGAUCUACCUCACCAUCUCUUGCCAAUUCCGCCUAUAUACCACCGUCACCAGCUUACCCUAUGAAGGAUACAAAAGUAAGCAAAAUAGCCUAAAAAGCUAACAAGUCAGGUCAAGGUGUAGCUAAUUGAGAUGGAAGAAAUGGGCUACAUUUUCUACAUUAGAAAUAAUUCACGGAAAGGAACCAUGAAAUAGGUCCCAUAAGUCGGAUUUAGCAGUAAACUGGGAAUAGAGAGCCCAAUUUAAACCGGUCCUGAGGUACGC
Molecule: ribosomal RNA, 396 nt
Filed under: Macrochelys temminckii (alligator snapping turtle)
Lineage: Eukaryota; Metazoa; Chordata; Testudines; Chelydridae
Description: partial 12S ribosomal RNA
Rfam family: Bacterial small subunit ribosomal RNA
Source: RNAcentral